AUGGGUAAAAGGGUUAUCAGAAAGAAGAGUGCAGAGGGAGUAAAAUCGGUUCCUCAAGAACAUACAUUGGGUCAAUCGAUUCGUUUACCACUUGUUGCAUCAUCGUAAGAAGAAGGGACCCUAACUGAACCAGCACCUAGCACAGGUGAACCAGCCCAGCUCCGCAGGUCAUCGCUUGAGCGACUCCCAAGCAUUUCGCAGUUGAUGGGGCUCGAACUUGUGACCUCCAAGUCACAAUAUGGAUAUCACAAGAAAAUUGGGAUUAUAUUAUUUUACGGAGAUAACACUUAGUGUUAAUAAUUCCAAGUUGGACGAGGUCAUCAAAAAGGCAAAUAGAAAGGACAAGGACAAUGCAAAAUCAAGAGCUAAGAAGAAGAUAAAGUCUUAGUGUUAACGUCUAGUGUAGUGUUAAAGUUUACUUUGUUCAAUUCGCCACUUUGUUUUUGUUUUACUUGUUAUGUCAUUUGUACACAACAAUUUAUCUUAUCUUUUUUCAUUAAACUAGCAC
Long non-coding RNA from Spinacia oleracea (spinach), 508 nucleotides. RefSeq lists it as uncharacterized. The transcript is spliced from 3 exons. The record is from RefSeq and is a predicted model, not a curated record. Lineage: Eukaryota; Viridiplantae; Streptophyta; Magnoliopsida; Caryophyllales; Amaranthaceae.